This 2189-nucleotide long non-coding RNA is filed under the name Homo sapiens (human). Its description in RNAcentral is "HSALNT0305305". The record is from RNAcentral. Lineage: Eukaryota; Metazoa; Chordata; Mammalia; Primates; Hominidae.
GGCUUCUCAAAGUGCUGGUAUUACAAAUACCUGCAAGAACAAACCCAUUGAGAUGGCUACAGAAUGAGAAGGGAAGCUUUUUCAUGGUGUAAGAAGUAAGAAAAAUUGAUUAGGAAGAACUCUGUGGGUAAGGAGAAAGAAAACCUACUAGGAGACCAUUAUUGCAGUGAAGAGCAUAGAACAAGGCUCUCUGGAAACUUAAGGGAAUCAUAAUAUGCCUGAGAAAACAUAAACAAAAAUUAUCUUAAUGACAAAUAAGUGCUUCGGAAAUAAACAAAGGCCAAAAUCUGUUAGAGAUGGUAGGUAGACAGCUCUCAUAUUUCCGUGGAUUGCAUCCUCAUGAAGGAUUUUCAACUUGUCUUUCAUUUUGAAAUUGAAUAAAUAUUGGAAUGCAUUAUCAUCCACCCUCCCUACAUUCAUCUAUAAAAGGAGACAUGACAGAUGUAAAGUUCCUAUCAAUAUGUGAACAGCAGAGGGAAAAAUGAGGCUGCACCCUGAAUUGAAGUGAUCCUAUCUCUUUAAGCCUCUUUCACACUGGAGAGCUACAGGAAGCCUGAGUUUGAAAUCAUUUGGUCCAGACAGAAGAGGAGAAGCAAGGACCGAGUGUCAUGAAGAGGGAAACAUUGCCAGACUGUCAGAGGUUACCUAAUAUCCUUUGAUGGGUUUCCUCCUGUUUCCCUGAAUCUGGGAUGACUGUCCCCUUGAACUGCUCCGGUAUCUUAGCCAAUGGACAAUGUAUUGUUACUCCCCUCCUUAUCUAUUCGUGGUUUUUGCACACAUACCAUGAACUCAUAAGUGUUGAAGGAUCUCGACGUGUAAAAAUAUUUGUAAGAACAAGUUCAGUGACUAGAAAUUUGCUAGCUGGUUUGAAAUAAAGAGAUACACAUAAAACUAUAUUAUGAACUGGGAUCACCCAAAUUAUCUUCUGCAGGACAUUAUUCUACUAGAAAAUAUGGACAAAAUCAUAAGGACAAUUGUCAGUUUGAUGCUGACAAAAUUUUGUAAAAUUCCUUAUAUUAAAACCACUCUUCACUAUUAGCAGGAGACUACACAUGUUCUAAUGGUCUGAGAAAUACUGCAGUAAAUAAAUCUGGUUAAUUUUGUUUAAACCAAAUGUUUCUGAACAUUUUUGCAUUAUUUUUUAAGCCAUGGAAAUUUUUAUAUCACAAAAACUAUCAAUAUCUCAGGGUCUUAGUGCUCCUCAGAGGAAUUAUGAGGAAAUAUUUAACAAAGAUUGAGCUGUUCGCUACAGUUGGUUUAAGUGCAAUUGCAAUUAGGGAGAACAGCGAUCACUUCCGGCGUCUAAGGGAAGCAUUAAUAAGGAGUUUGAACUGGACUUGAAUGAUGUGAGUAUUUUGAUGCAUCAACAAAAUAAGAUAUUCUGGGCUGGGAGGGAAGUCAAGAGGCUUAACAGAAUAAAUACAGACGUGAAGGAGGAAAUGGUUCCGAGUUCAGGUGUGUUUAAGGGACAAUGAAAAAAAUCAAUAUGUCUGGAGAGGAGGGUUUUGAUUGAGUAAAAAUCAAUUUGGGAAGGCUGAUUAUAAAGACCCUUGCAUUUUGGAUUAGGUUCUAUGAAGAUUGAAGUAUGCAUUAAUUGCAUCCAGAGGGGAACAAAAAGGGAAUAUGUGUUUAGCAUUCUGAACAAACCAUUUUCUUACUUUUUUCAUUUUAUUUUAUUGUUUUUCUGUUUUUAAAUCUAACACAAGCACAUGGUCAAAACUCAUAACAUGAAAAAGAUAAACAAAAGAAAGUUAAAAUAACUGAUAAACGCAUGAACUAGGUAUAAUGAGUUGACAUAGGGAGUAUAUCCUUUGCCACUUUUUCCGAAGUGUACACAUGUUCACACACCCAUUUAAAAAAAUGUCAGCUUACACCAUGGCUGAAUAUGACAGUCACAGUGGCUGUAGACUAAGCUACUAAGGGGCAAGUAAAUAAAUAUAAAUGUGUAUAGUAAAGUAGAAUGCACAGAUGACAAAGAUGUAGUCUUUCACACAGACAACAUUACAAAUUAAAUAUGUGGAAUGUCCCUUGUUUCCACAAAGAAAUAUUCUUUCUUUUUGGACUACACCUCUUUUAUUUGAAUCAUACAGCUAUUCGGGUCCAUUUUUAAUCUUACCCAUCUUGAUAGAAACACAGAUAUUUACAAAAUAUAUUUUCAACUCUAAUAUUAGGGAAAAAAUGAUAAAUGC